RNAcentral lists this microRNA (22 nucleotides) under Drosophila ananassae. Its description in RNAcentral is "Dan-Novel-10_3p (mature (guide))". The record is from RNAcentral. Lineage: Eukaryota; Metazoa; Arthropoda; Insecta; Diptera; Drosophilidae.
ACAUAGAUGGCCAGACGUUACA